This 253-nucleotide ribosomal RNA is filed under the name uncultured bacterium. RNAcentral's name for it is "partial 16S ribosomal RNA". It matches the Rfam family "Bacterial small subunit ribosomal RNA", at positions 524 to 776 of the family's 1533-position model. The record is from RNAcentral.
UACAGAGGUCUCAAGCGUUGUUCGGAUUCAUUGGGCGUAAAGGGUGCGUAGGUGGCGCCGUAAGUCAGGUGUGAAAUUUCGGAGCUUAACUCCGAAACUGCAUUUGAUACUGCGGUGCUUGAGGACUGGAGAGGAGACUGGAAUUCACGGUGUAGCAGUGAAAUGCGUAGAUAUCGCAAGGAAGACCAGUGGCGAAGGCGGGUCUCUGGACAGUUCCUGACGCUGAGGCACGAAGGUCAGGGGAGCAAACGGG